UAAGCGGAGGAAAAGAAACCAACAGGGAUUGCCUUAGUAGCGGCGAGCGAAGCGGCAACAGCUCAAAUUUGAAAUCUGGCUACUUCGUAGUCCGAGUUGUAAUUUGUAGAGGAUGCUUUUGGUGAGGUGCCUUCCGAGUUCCCUGGAACGGGACGCCGGAGAGGGUGAGAGCCCCGUACGGUUGGAUACCAAGCCUUUGUAUAGCUCCUUCAACGAGUCGAGUAGUUUGGGAAUGCUGCUCUAAAUGGGAGGUAUAUCUCUUCUAAAGCUAAAUACCGGCUAGAGACCGAUAGCGCACAAGUAGAGUGAUCGAAAGAUGAAAAGCACUUUGAAAAGAGAGUUAAACAGCACGUGAAAUUGUUGAAAGGGAAGCGCCUAUGACCAGACUUGUUUCUGUCAGUUUUGCUUGUUUUCGGACUUGUUUACUCUGUCAGUACAGGCCAACAUCAGUUUGUUGUUUGGGAGAAAGGCUUAGGGAAUGUGGCUCUUUCGAGAGUGUUAUAGCCCUUUGCAUAAUACCAUUCGGCAGACUGAGGACCGCGCUUCGGCAAGGAUGUUGGCGUAAUGGUCAUCAGCGACCCGUCUUGAAACACGGACCAAGGAGUCAACCUUAUGUGCGAGUGUUUGGGUGUAAAACCCCAGCGCGUAAUGAACGUGAACGUAGGUGAGAGCUUCGGCGCAUCAUCGACCGAUUCUGAUGUUCUCGGAUGGAUUUGAGUAAGAGCAUAUAGGGUUGGACCCGAAAGAAGGUGAACUAUGCUUGUAUAGGGUGAAGCCAGAGGAAACUCUGGUGGAGGCUCGCAGCGGUUCUGACGUGCAAAUCGAUCGUCAAAUAUGAGCAUGGGGGCGAAAG
This 853-nucleotide ribosomal RNA is filed under the name Davidsoniella neocaledoniae. RNAcentral's name for it is "eukaryotic LSU rRNA". It matches the Rfam family "Eukaryotic large subunit ribosomal RNA", at positions 47 to 929 of the family's 3401-position model. Lineage: Eukaryota; Fungi; Ascomycota; Sordariomycetes; Microascales; Ceratocystidaceae. The record is from RNAcentral.